Long non-coding RNA from Gorilla gorilla gorilla (western lowland gorilla), 802 nucleotides. RefSeq lists it as uncharacterized. The transcript has 2 exons. The record is from RefSeq and is a predicted model, not a curated record. Lineage: Eukaryota; Metazoa; Chordata; Mammalia; Primates; Hominidae.
AGACUGGGUUUCACCAUGUUGACCAGGAUGGUCUUGAUCUCUUGACCUCAUGAUCUGCCCACCUUGGCCUCCCAAAGUGCUGGGAUUACAGGUGUGAGCCACUGCGCCUGGUCUGAAACCUCUUAUUUCUAUGAGAGACAAAAGGAUGUACUGUGUGAUGUCUGAUUACACCCAUCGUUGUACCGAAGAGAGACCUCAGCAAAAUCCCAGAGCCCUGACUCCAGUGUCUCCAGCUGAGAGGCUGAGCUUGCCAGCUCCAUUUCUGACUGCUCAUGGAGCAGAAUCAGUGACCAAGGAGAAAAGGGCUGAGUGAAGAAACAAGUGUGAGUGCCAAGAUGAUGCCAAGGGCUGUGAUUUCCUGGUGGGAAGAAAGAAGGAAUAGAAGCCAAAGGAAGGGGGACGAAAAGCAAAACCAAGAAUCACAAGGAAUCAAGUUCGGAGAGAAUUUUGGUAGAGAUUUUGAGAGGGGGGCUUUAAGUCAGCCAUGGACAUACUGAAGCAAGAGGAAUGAAGGGAAAAAAGAAAAGGGGGGAAAAAAGAAGAAGAAUGGGGCCAAGGAGGAUUUAAGACUACCAUUAUGGGUUACAAGUUGAAUUCUCUUUAAUAUUCUUCAAGCAAUGACAGUAAAGAUUCAAAUAACUUUUAAAUUACCUUUGAUUUCUAAACCAAGUUUCUUGGAAUGUGAAAGUCUCCAAGACUGGGCCCUGCAGGGCCUGGGUUGGGCUACUACUGCCUAUGGAGAUUCUGAGGGUAUUAACCUUAAUGAUGGCAUGAAAUCAGUAAAAAUCAUCCACAAGCUUUU